UACAGAGGGUGCGAGCGUUGUCCGGAAUCACUGGGCGUAAAGGGCGCGUAGGCGGCGCGGUAAGCGUGCGGUGAAAGCCCGGGGCUCAACCCCGGGUCGGCCGUGCGAACUGGGUCACUGGAGCAGAAUAGAGGCAGGUGGAAUUCCGGGUGUAGCGGUGGAAUGCGUAGAGAUCCGGAAGAACACCGGUGGCGAAGGCGGCCUGCUGGGUUCUGGCUGACACUGAGGCGCGACAGCGUGGGGAGCAAACAGG
Molecule: ribosomal RNA, 253 nt
Filed under: uncultured bacterium
Lineage: Bacteria
Description: partial 16S ribosomal RNA
Rfam family: Bacterial small subunit ribosomal RNA
Source: RNAcentral